This is a long non-coding RNA of Rhodamnia argentea, 506 nucleotides long. RefSeq lists it as uncharacterized. The transcript has 3 exons. The record is from RefSeq and is a predicted model, not a curated record. NCBI's taxonomy places the organism in Eukaryota, Viridiplantae, Streptophyta, Magnoliopsida, Myrtales, Myrtaceae.
AGAUGCCCAAGUGAACAGAUUAAGUUCCAAACUUAGAAUCUUAUUUCACUGGCCAGCAGCUUUAAUAUGGGUUGAUGGAAGAUUUUUCGAAAUCGUCAAAGGAUCAGGAGCUCGAUGUUUCUUGAACUUCUCUGAACUCUGACAAUGCAUCCUUGGAAUGGUAAAGGAUGUUUGCAUGUACCUCCUGGUCCUUGUUGUGUGGAUCUGGCUUUAUAUAAGGUAAAGGCUUGGUAAAUCAUACUUCAAAGCCAAAUUUGCAAAUGUGGAUAAUAUAUUCUGUUGGAAACAUGAACAUCAAAUUGUGAUGUUGCUAAACAAGAUGAAUGAUACUCGUGAAAACUUGGAAGAUGCCAGGAUGACGAUCUUGCAGGCCAGUGACCUUCCAUUUGUGCAUAUUGCAGGAACCACUUGUGCAAAUAACUGGGAGUUGUACCAAUUGAAGGUAUUCUAUCAGAUGACAUCACAUGCAAUCGGUUCAAUCGGUCGAACUGGUACAGCAAUGUUCC